GAGGGAAGUGCCUGAUGUGCCUUACCUGAGAAAAUGGGGAUCUGCCCAUUCACUACAGCCUGAUUCUUCCAUGAGGGGCUGCAAGCUGGUUCCAGCAAAUGUGGAACUUAUGGUGACCUGUGCUGGUUUCCCAGUGGUUUGGAUCUACUAGAAGCUCCUGCCAGCCUAAUGCCAUGAAUGUUGAGGUGGACAAUGUGGAAGAGAAAGCUGUCCAUUCCUGGUCAAGGAUCUCCUCUGCAGGACAGAAAGCCUUGGAAGAAGCUCUCCGGGUAUUUAACCCCAUGUCCAAGGACCUGUCUGACACGGAGACCCAGCUGGUAGCUUUUCUCCAAGGCCUUAAGGAAGAAGGCUACCAGCCCACAAUCCUAAGGAGUAAAGACGUGUAUGGAUACAGUUCCUGCACAGCCAAUGCACCUGGCCAAACAAAAGGCAAUACUCAGGACAUUUCAGAAACAGCUGUCCCUAUUUCAGAGUCUGCCAAGGCUCCAGCAAGGAACAUGGUAACCGUGGAAAAAGUGUCUGCUCCCUUAGCAGGUAUUACAGUGAGCUCUUCUAAAGAUUCUGCUAAGCCAAUGUCAAAGAGCAGUAACUCCACAAACCUCCUGUUGAACUCAUUGAAACGGACACGUUCAGGUACGUCAAAAGCCUCAGCAAUGAGUUUCCCUGCUAAUAUGUACCCUGGUGUCUAUCCAGCCAUGAGGCUGUCGGUGGUCCUGGAAGCCUUAGUCCCACUGAAAGCUACUGCCUCUUGUCUGGAAUCAAAAUGCAAACAAGGGCACCUUGGGAUCUCUCCUUCAGACCUUAAGCGUCUCAAAGCAUCCACUGCAUCUAUACAGUCUUCAGCAGUUAAGGCUGCUAAGAUACCUGCUAGUCAGUUGGACCCCAAAGCAUAUAGGCAUUUAAUAACAAAAGUGCCAGACUCUGCUGCUCUCACAAUGAGCCUUAUAAAAGGACCAAAGGGUGGGGUGCUUCAGGAAAGCAAUGCGUGCAAAGCAUCUGGAAUCCUGAAUGGCCGAAUUUCUGGGAGCAACUCCCAGAGCUGUAGCACAGGGCCCCCCAGAAUUAAGGAACCAUCAGUGGCCAAAACUGAACAGAAAAGUGGUAGCAGCCACCAGGAGGCCAUUGGGCAGAAAAGAAAAAGACCAGAUGAAGGAAAGGAAUUACCAUGUAGAAAGACACCCAGUUCUGUUCCGUCACCUAAUAAACCAGAACUGGCUUCAGAAACAUUAAACCUGCUGAAAUUUCAGGCCAUCAAAGUGGACAGCUCUUCAGACGAUGAAUUGAGGCGGAGAGCACAAAAGAUCCUUAGAGUUAAUCUGUCCCCUGUGAUCAGAAUCCAGCCAUUGCCUCAUUCUCUCAGCAUCCCUUGAUCAUUCAGUUGAGUUGGAGCUCCAGGGCCACCGCAUGAGGAUGAUCAGAUCAACAUCACGUCUCUUGGACCUGGUGACAACAUGCAUGCCUGAACUCCUCAGGCAGCUGAUCCUCAGGUCCUGGUUGGCAACUGGGGGAAAUUCUGCAGAGCUGAGCAACAAUUGGAUUAUAAAACCAUGUUUAGAAAUACUGGAGGAGAUCUUUAAGGCCCUGUUGAGAGGAAUGCAGAACAGUGCUGGCUUUCUUCUGGGACACUUUUCUACAGUGCUUUUGUAAAUGUGGCAGAGUGCACAUCUGGGAUGUGGCAGCACUUGGACUAUUACUGUGCUUCAGCCAUUCCUUUGCACACACUCAUGCGAUCCGGGAUUCAGUCUCCCAUAUUCUAAUUCUAAAAAGAUCUUAGGAUGGAAAAAAAGAAAGAAAUGUUUUGCUUGAAACUGCAGAGACCCAUUCCUGGAACAGACUGUGGAGGUAGAUAGAUCAGCA
RNA transcript from Candoia aspera, 1857 nucleotides. It is a transcript of the gene named coiled-coil domain containing 71, with no coding region annotated. The transcript has 3 exons. NCBI's taxonomy places the organism in Eukaryota, Metazoa, Chordata, Lepidosauria, Squamata, Candoiidae. The record is from RefSeq and is a predicted model, not a curated record.